UACGGAGGGUGCAAGCGUUAAUCGGAAUUACUGGGCGUAAAGCGCUCGUAGGCUGUUAUGUAAGUCAGAGGUGAAAUGCCAGGGCUCAACCGUGGAACUGCCUUUGAUACUGCGUAACUUGAGUCCGGGAGAGGAUGGCGGAAUUCCAGGUGUAGGAGUGAAAUCCGUAGAUAUCUGGAGGAACAUCAGUGGCGAAGGCGGCCAUCUGGACCGGAACUGACGCUGAGGAGCGAAAGCGUGGGGAGCAAACAGG
This 253-nucleotide ribosomal RNA is filed under the name uncultured Desulfovibrio sp. RNAcentral describes it as "partial 16S ribosomal RNA". It matches the Rfam family "Bacterial small subunit ribosomal RNA", at positions 524 to 776 of the family's 1533-position model. The record is from RNAcentral. Lineage: Bacteria; Pseudomonadati; Thermodesulfobacteriota; Desulfovibrionia; Desulfovibrionales; Desulfovibrionaceae.